AGUGAACGCUGGCGGUAGGCCUAACACAUGCAAGUCGAACGGCAGCACAGUAAGAGCUUGCUCUUACGGGUGGCGAGUGGCGGACGGGUGAGGAAUACAUCGGAAUCUAUUUUUUCGUGGGGGAUAACGUAGGGAAACUUACGCUCAUACCGCAUACGACCUACGGGUGAAAGCAGGGGAUCUUCGGAACUUGCGCGAUUGAAUGAGCCGGUGGCGGAUUAGCUCGUUGGCGGGGUAAAGGCCCACCCAGGCGACGAACCGUAGCUGGUCUGAGAGGAUGGGCCGCCACACUGGAACUGAGACACGGUCCAGGCUCCCACGGGGGGCAGGAGUGGGGAAUUUUGGACAAUGGGCGCAAGCCUGAUCCAGCCAUACCGCGUGGGUGAAGAAGGCCUUCGGGGUGUAAAGCCCUUUUGUUGGGAAAGAAAAGCAGCAGGUUAAUACCCCGCUGUUCUGACGGUACCCAAAGAAUAAGCACCGGCUAACUUCGU
This 491-nucleotide ribosomal RNA is filed under the name uncultured bacterium. RNAcentral's name for it is "partial 16S ribosomal RNA". It matches the Rfam family "Bacterial small subunit ribosomal RNA", at positions 29 to 506 of the family's 1533-position model. The record is from RNAcentral.